This 78-nucleotide transfer RNA is filed under the name Sulfuritalea sp. Its description in RNAcentral is "tRNA-Pro". It matches the Rfam family "tRNA". Rfam says of the family: Transfer RNA (tRNA) molecules are approximately 80 nucleotides in length. Their secondary structure includes four short double-helical elements and three loops (D, anti-codon, and T loops). Lineage: Bacteria; Pseudomonadati; Pseudomonadota; Betaproteobacteria; Nitrosomonadales; Sterolibacteriaceae. The record is from RNAcentral.
CGGGGCGUAGCUCAGCCUGGUAGAGUACUGCGUUCGGGACGCAGGAUGUCGGAGGUUCGAAUCCUCUCGCCCCGACCA